Molecule: ribosomal RNA, 239 nt
Filed under: uncultured bacterium
Lineage: Bacteria
Description: partial 16S ribosomal RNA
Rfam family: Bacterial small subunit ribosomal RNA
Source: RNAcentral
GAUCCUGGCUCGGGACGAACGCUGGCGGCGUGCUUAACACAUGCAAGUCGAACGGAGCACCCCUGAAUGAGGUUUCGGCCAAAGGAAGGGAAUGCUUAGUGGCGGACUGGUGAGUAACGCGUGAGGAACCUGCCUUUCAGAGGGGGACAACAGUUGGAAACGGCUGCUAAUACCGCAUGACACAUGAAUGGGGCAUCCCAUUGAUGUCAAAGAUUUAUCGCUGAAAGAUAGCCUCGCGU